GAAGGUGGCAAGCGUUGUUCGGAAUUAUUGGGCUUAAAGCGCGCGUAGGCGGGACUGGAAAGUGUCUUGUGAAAACCCACGGGCUUAACCGUGGAAUUGCUUGGCAAACUAUCAGUCUUGAGGCAAGUAGGGGUACAUGGAACUCUUAGUGGAGCGGUGGAAUGCGUAGAUAUUAAGAGGAACGCCAAUGGUGAAGACAGUGUACUGGGCUUGUACUGACGCUGAGGUGCGAAAGCGUGGGGAGCGAACGGGAUUAGAUACCCCGGUAGUCCACGCCGUAAACGAUGUCUACUAGAUCGUGGGAGUUCUGACACUUUCACGGUCGAAGCAAAAGUGAUAAGUAGACCGCCUGGGGAGUACGGUCGCAAAGGCUAA
Molecule: ribosomal RNA, 375 nt
Filed under: uncultured organism
Description: partial 16S ribosomal RNA
Rfam family: Bacterial small subunit ribosomal RNA
Source: RNAcentral